This 84-nucleotide transfer RNA is filed under the name Candidatus Rifleibacteriota bacterium. Its description in RNAcentral is "tRNA-Leu". It matches the Rfam family "tRNA". Rfam says of the family: Transfer RNA (tRNA) molecules are approximately 80 nucleotides in length. Their secondary structure includes four short double-helical elements and three loops (D, anti-codon, and T loops). Lineage: Bacteria; Candidatus Rifleibacteriota. The record is from RNAcentral.
GCCGGGGUGGUGAAAUUGGCAAACACGUAAGAUUCAGGAUCUUAUGCCCUCACGGGUUUAGGGGUUCAAGUCCCCUCCUCGGCA